Molecule: transfer RNA, 94 nt
Filed under: Planctomycetota bacterium
Lineage: Bacteria; Pseudomonadati; Planctomycetota
Description: Planctomycetes bacterium (groundwater metagenome) tRNA-Sec
Rfam family: Selenocysteine transfer RNA
Source: RNAcentral
GGGAGUGCUUGGCGUCCUGGUGGCGUCCACGGACUUCAAAUCCGUUGGGACCGGCAGACACCGGUCCGGUGGGUUCGAUUCCCAUGCACUCCCG